AAAAACAUCGCCUCCCGCAAAAUCUCAAUGUAUAGGAGGUCUUGCCUGCCCAGUGAACUAGUUUAAACGGCCGCGGUAUCUUGACCGUGCAAAGGUAGCGCAAUCACUUGUCUUUUAAAUGAAGACCUGUAUGAAUGGUGGAACGAGGGCUUAACUGUCUCCCCCCUUAGGUCAGUGAAAUUGAUCUACCCGUGCAGAAGCGGGUAUAAAAAUACAAGACGAGAAGACCCUUUGGAGCUUAAGACACCAAGACCACUUAUGUCAAAAAUCCGCUACAAAGCAGAUUAAACCUAAUAAUAUCUGGUCCCAGUCUUCGGUUGGGGCGACCGCGGGGGAAAAUAAAGCCCCCAUGUGGAAUGGGAAAAUACCCUAAAACCAAGAGAGACAUCUCUAAGACACAGAACAUCUGACCAUUAUAGAUCCGGCUAUACAGCCGAUCAACGGACCAAGUUACCCUAGGGAUAACAGCGCAAUCCCCUCCCAGAGUCCCUAUCGACAAGGGGGUUUACGACCUCGAUGUUGGAUCAGGACAUCCUAAUGGUGCAGCCGCUAUUAAGGGUUCGUUUGUUCAACGAUUAAAGUCCUACGUGAUCUGAG
Molecule: ribosomal RNA, 597 nt
Filed under: Distichodus lusosso (longsnout distichodus)
Lineage: Eukaryota; Metazoa; Chordata; Actinopteri; Characiformes; Distichodontidae
Description: partial 16S large subunit ribosomal RNA
Rfam family: Bacterial large subunit ribosomal RNA
Source: RNAcentral